AAUUAAAAAUUUUUAUAGUUUGAAAAAUUUACUUAAAAUUUAUUUUACAUAUAAAUUUUAGUGUUAAUUAUUAAUUUAUCUUAAUAAUAAUAAUAAUAAUAAUUUUAGUAAUUAAUAUUAAAAAUUUAAGCAAUUAAGAUUUAGUAAUAAUUUAAUUAAAAACUAAUUUUGUGCCAGCAGUUGCGGUUAAACAAAAUUUAAAGUAAAUUUUAUUAGUAAAAUUAAUUAAUAAUUUAUAAUUUAAAUUAAAUAUUAAAUUAUUAAGUGAAAUUUUAAUUUAAUAAAAAUUUAUAAAAAAAUUAUGAAAUUAAUAAAUUAUAUUAAAAACUAGGAUUAGAUACCCUAUUAUUAUUAAAUUAAAUGGUAAUACUAGAAUAGUAUUUAAUAAUUUAUUGAAAUUUAAAUAAUUUGGCGGUAUUUUAGUUCAUUCAGAGGAAUCUGUUUAAUAAUUGAUAAUCCACGAAUAAAUUUACUUAAUUUAUAAUUUUGUAUAUCGUUGUUAAAAAAAUAUUUUAUAUUAAAAAUAAUAUUUUAAAAUUUUAAAAAUAAAUUAAAUCAGAUCAAGAUGCAGAUAAUAAUUAAGAAUAUAAUGGAUUACAAUAAAUUUAUUUAAAUGAAAAAUAAUUUGUAAGAAUUAUAUGAAGGUGGAUUUGAAUGUAAUUUUAUUUAAUUUAAUAAAAUGAUUAAAAGUUAAAAUAUGUACAUAUUGCCCGUCGCUUUCAUAAAUAAGUUGAAAUAAGUCGUAACAAAGUAGAGGUACUGGAAAGUGUUUCUAGAAAGAU
Molecule: non-coding RNA, 782 nt
Filed under: Plodia interpunctella (Indianmeal moth)
Lineage: Eukaryota; Metazoa; Arthropoda; Insecta; Lepidoptera; Pyralidae
Source: RNAcentral